UUGCGGCGUUAAUUGCUAUAAGAUUGAGUCUCGGUUAUUCUAUGUUGUGAUUAGAGUUGUUGUGGUUGCUACGUAAGCGGUUUGGAGCUGAGGUUGCAGAUGCCGCUGAUUGCGGGCCGAAAAGAAAGGGUUUCUUGAUGCGUUUGGUUUAUGAGUUUCGAUUAUUCGAGGAAAACGGAUUAAGAAG
Molecule: non-coding RNA, 187 nt
Organism: Arachis ipaensis
Lineage: Eukaryota; Viridiplantae; Streptophyta; Magnoliopsida; Fabales; Fabaceae
Source: RefSeq, a predicted model, not a curated record